Long non-coding RNA from Lotus japonicus, 713 nucleotides. RefSeq lists it as uncharacterized. The record is from RefSeq and is a predicted model, not a curated record. NCBI's taxonomy places the organism in Eukaryota, Viridiplantae, Streptophyta, Magnoliopsida, Fabales, Fabaceae. The transcript has 3 exons.
UCACACCAAAAAAUGGCAGAAAUUGUUGCGGCCUCUUGAUGGUUUUCUAGUAGCUUCUCUACAUCAACCAAAGCUGCUUACGCACACAGGCAAGUGUAGAUUGGAAAAAGGUAGAAAGUGGACAUGAAAAGCGAUGAAGAAAAGAAAUGAAAUUAAGAUAGAGUGAGGCGCAACUUCAAGAAUAGCAUAACAAAAAGAAAGAAGAAAUGUCUACACGAACGGAAGAUAGUCAGGGACAACUUGAAGAAUGGGAAAAAUAAUUUGAAGAAAGAGUGGAGAAACAACUUGGUGAAAGAAUGGAAAAGAAAUUUGUGGAAAUGAUGGCGGCCAUAUUUUUUAAAAGGCACUGGGUUCUCUGUUCCUUGAGAAUCAGUGUUUCUCAUAGCCUGCGAGAUCAUCAGAAUGGAGUGCACCUGAAGUUGGGUUUCUAAAUUUCAAUGUAGAUGGCACCUCAAGUGGAAAUCCAAGGCCUAGCGGCACAGGAAAAGAGCUUGGUGAAGAAAAGAAGCGAGUCUUUGGGUUAUUUCUCCAAAAAAACGGGGUGAAACUUGGGCCUACGAAGCAGAGAUUUUAACGAUCCCAAAUGCGAGCAAUUCAACUUCAGAAAUAUAAUUGUGGAGAGUUGUUCAAGCCUUGCAAAACUCUGUAAUUUCCUUUUAUGGUGUUUUUGUAUGUCUUACUCAUUUUAUCAAUAAAGCUUUCUCUCUUUUCAA